RNAcentral lists this ribosomal RNA (827 nucleotides) under uncultured bacterium. Its description in RNAcentral is "bacterial SSU rRNA". It matches the Rfam family "Bacterial small subunit ribosomal RNA", at positions 8 to 822 of the family's 1533-position model. The record is from RNAcentral.
AGAGUUUGAUCCUGGCUCAGGAUGAACGCUAGCGACAGGCUUAACACAUGCAAGUCGAGGGGCAGCGGGGGAGCGGCAACGCUCCCGCCGGCGACCGGCGCACGGGUGAGUAACACGUAUGCAACCUGCCCCGGGCCGGGGCAUAAGCGGUAGAAAUGCCGUCUAAUUCCCCAUGACGCACAGGGGGGACAUCCCCCUUGUGCCAAAGGAGUCAAAUCCGGCCCGGGAUGGGCAUGCGGCGCAUUAGGCAGUUGGCGGUGCAACGGACCACCAAACCUACGAUGCGUAGGGGUUCUGAGAGGAAGGCCCCCCACACUGGUACUGAGACACGGACCAGACUCCUACGGGAGGCAGCAGUGAGGAAUAUUGGUCAAUGGGCGAGAGCCUGAACCAGCCAAGUCGCGUGAGGGAGGAAGGCCCUACGGGUUGUAAACCUCUUUUGCCGGGGAGCAAAGGCCGGGACGUGUCCCGGUUCGAGAGUACCCGGAGAAUAAGCAUCGGCUAACUCCGUGCCAGCAGCCGCGGUAAUACGGAGGAUGCGAGCGUUAUCCGGAUUUAUUGGGUUUAAAGGGUGCGUAGGCGGGAGAUCAAGUCAGUGGUGAAAUGGUGUGGCUCAACCAUAGCAUUGCCGUUGAAACUGGUUUUCUUGAGAGCGAACAAGGUACGCGGAAUGUGUUGUGUAGCGGUGAAAUGCUUAGAUAUGACACAGAACACCGAUUGCGAAGGCAGCGUACCGGGCCGCAUCUGACGCUGAGGCUCGAAAGUGUGGGGAUCGAACAGGAUUAGAUACCCUGGUAGUCCACACAGUAAACGAUGAACACUAGCUG